RNAcentral lists this unclassified non-coding RNA (176 nucleotides) under Arabidopsis thaliana (thale cress). RNAcentral's name for it is "partial MIR172c microRNA precursor transcript form 1". The record is from RNAcentral. Lineage: Eukaryota; Viridiplantae; Streptophyta; Magnoliopsida; Brassicales; Brassicaceae.
AAAUAGGCUCUUCUUUAUCGCUUCAUAUAUAUAAAAGUCUACAUCUAUCUCUUUCUAGGUCACUAGCUAGACUCUAGAUUAAGGAUUGAAAUUAGGGUUUCAUGUUUCCAGCAAAAUGGUGCCGUCUUGAGUCUUGAAAAGAUCCAAGACAAAACCAAAUCACUACAUACAUCCCU